CUGUAACAUAUACCUACAAAUUGAUUGGUUUAUAGCUCAUUUAAUUGAAUAAUUUCACUUGUUCAUUAGCUAUUACUAAUUGUUGAUCAAUUGUAAAUCUAUUAACCAUAAUUACUAAUUUAAUGAUGGUUAAAUCAUCACGUUUUUCAUCCAUAUUGAUGUUGAAUAAUAAGCAACCAGUUUCUAAACAUCAAUUGAUACUUACGAUAUUGUUAGUAUUUGAAUAGCCACAGAAAAACAGUGUUUACAAUUAGAAUUGAUUUUUUCAAAUUUACAAUAAUUUCAUGCUUUCUACAGCAAUUAGUAUAGCUUUGAAUUUGUCCGUUGUAGAGUUACAUUUCACUAGACUUUCACCUUUUAUUGAAAAGCAGUUGCUUUGCUUGUUUAUUAACUUUAAGGUUAUGGUGUUAAUAAAUUAGAUAUUAUAAGUAGGAUGAGAUGAUGAUGAUGAUAAUGGUGAUGUAGAGAGUAAAAAGAGAGAGGAAAAAAUGGUUAAUUGGGAAGAAGAUGAAGAUGAAAGGAACCAUGAAGUUGAGUGAAUUGGAAAGAAACUUUUUAGAUUAGAUUUCUCAUCGAUUCAUUGAUCCAUAGAGAAACAGACAGAGAAACAAAAUGAAGAUAAAAAACAUUUGAUUAUAAAUUGUUGAAAAAUUAAGCGACCUUAAAAUGAACAGGGAAGCUUGUGAAUAAAUCAAUGGAUCAAUGGCAACUCCAAACUAAUCAACAAUCCAAAGAAUUAGGAUAACCUUAAUUAACCUGUUAAUCAAAGCUGGAAAAAAACCAAGAAUCAAUUUGAGUCGCAAAGGAUUGCCUGAUAUUCACUAGUUCAUACACAUGGAAACUCUCAACAUACACUUGAACAAGUUACCUGUACUUAAAGCAAUUAACAUUAUUUGGAUUGAUGGUUGAAGGAGAAUCAAAUUAACACCAAGUUAACCCCAAAUCAACAACAGUUGGACAAAGCAUUUGAAUCUCAAAAUUUUGAAAUGCUCAAAGUCAAAGAUCUGUUGAAUGGAUUCACCUAAAGUCUCUACUUUAAGAUUUUAUUGUUAAUUCAAUUGAAUAGGAUUUACAAUUGAAACCUACAAAGCAUUCAAUUAGCGUUACAAUUAAGCUUUGAUGAGCUCUUUUGUAUUCAUUUAUCCCGUUACUUUCAAAUGUUAUUACCUUUAAUCUAAUGGGUAAUAAGGUUCAUGACCAAGGUUAACUAUUAUCAAUUGAAUGCCAAAGCAAACACAAAAUUAAUUGUAAUAAUCUUAUUUUUCUGAUAACAUUAUUAUAAGGUUAAUUAUUGUGAAUAGCAAGUUAGGAUAAUAAGUUUAAUUUUUCUGGUUAAACUUGGUUCCAGUUAAUAACAGUAUUGAACAAAUAAUCAUGAUUAGUAAAUUUUACGGCUGACGGUAACUACUAUUUAGUUAAAUGCGAAUAGACAUGUUCAUGAUUUGUAUGCAAUAACAAUGAAAGAAAGAAAUAAUAUUUUGUUUGGUCUCUUGAUUUACUUGAUUAUUAUCAUUACUCGAAUAUAUAAUUACCUGAUUGUUUGCUAUUAAUUUUAUGAGACGAUUAAUUUAAAAUUACAUUUGUUAUGGAUAGCUCAAGGUAAUAGGAAUUGAACAAAAAUUGAGAUUUAAAACAAUUAACAUCUGCUUUAACAACUAAACUGAUUCAAUUACUCACUGUUACCAAUCAAUCUGAUAGCAUCAACACAUCAACAAAUCAGCAACAAUUUUAAGGUUAAUUGUCGAUUUGUAUUGUUUUAUUAAUCGUGAUACACUUUAAGAUAUUAAUCACAUUAAAACAGGAGUAAAGGAAUUAAAAAUGGAAUCUCCGGAUUUUGUGGACAAUAAUUAAGCCACAAUUAGUGAAGAUUAUUAAAGUUGACUUGCUUUGUUCUGUUG
Molecule: non-coding RNA, 1898 nt
Organism: Tetranychus urticae (two-spotted spider mite)
Lineage: Eukaryota; Metazoa; Arthropoda; Arachnida; Trombidiformes; Tetranychidae
Source: RefSeq, a predicted model, not a curated record